This 460-nucleotide ribosomal RNA is filed under the name uncultured bacterium. RNAcentral's name for it is "bacterial SSU rRNA". It matches the Rfam family "Bacterial small subunit ribosomal RNA", at positions 917 to 1382 of the family's 1533-position model. The record is from RNAcentral.
GACCCCGCACAAGCGGUGGAUCAUGUUGUUUAAUUCGAAGAUACGCGAAGAACCUUACCAGGUCUUGACAUCCCUUGCAAUACUAUAGAGAUAUAGUGGAGGCUAUCAAGGUGACAGGUGGUGCAUGGUUGUCGUCAGCUCGUGUCGUGAGAUGUUGGGUUAAGUCCCGUAACGAGCGCAACCCUUGUCGUUAGUUGCCAGCAUUAAGUUGGGGACUCUAACGAGACUGCCAGUGAUAAACUGGAGGAAGGUGAGGAUGACGUCAAAUCAUCAUGCCCCUUAUGACCUGGGCUACAAACGUGAUACAAUGGAUAGAACAAAGGGAUGCGAAGCAGUGAUGUGGAGCGAAACCCAUAAAAAUAUUCUCAGUUCGGAUUGAAGUCUGCAACUCGACUUCAUGAAGCUGGAAUCGCUAGUAAUCGUGGAUCAGAACGCCACGGUGAAUACGUUCUCGGGGUUU